Molecule: transfer RNA, 77 nt
Filed under: Salmo salar (Atlantic salmon)
Lineage: Eukaryota; Metazoa; Chordata; Actinopteri; Salmoniformes; Salmonidae
Rfam family: tRNA
About the family: Transfer RNA (tRNA) molecules are approximately 80 nucleotides in length. Their secondary structure includes four short double-helical elements and three loops (D, anti-codon, and T loops). Further hydrogen bonds mediate the characteristic L-shaped molecular structure. tRNAs have two regions of fundamental functional importance: the anti-codon, which is responsible for specific mRNA codon recognition, and the 3' end, to which the tRNAs corresponding amino acid is attached (by aminoacyl-tRNA synthetases). tRNAs cope with the degeneracy of the genetic code in two manners: having more than one tRNA (with a specific anti-codon) for a particular amino acid; and 'wobble' base-pairing, i.e. permitting non-standard base-pairing at the 3rd anti-codon position.
Source: Rfam by way of RNAcentral
GGCUCAGUUGGUAGAGCAUGGUGUUUGCAACGCCAGCAUGGUGUUUGCAACGCCAGGGUUGUGGGUUCGAUUCCCAC